GGAUGUGAGGGCGAUCUGGCUGCGACAUCUGUCACCCCAUUGAUCGCCAGGGUUGAUUCGGCUGAUCUGGCUGGCUAGGCGGGUGUCCCCUUCCUCCCUCACCGCUCCAUGUGCGUCCCUCCCGAAGCUGCGCGCUCGGUCUUCGGUCAAGGGUAUACGAGUAGCUGCGCUCCCCUGCUAGAACCUCCAAACAAGCUCUCAAGGUCCAUUUGUAGGAGAACGUAGGGUAGUCAAGCUUCCAAGACUCCAGACACAUCCAAAUGAGGCGCUGCAUGUGGCAGUCUGCCUUUCUUU
Molecule: small nuclear RNA, 294 nt
Filed under: Macaca fascicularis (crab-eating macaque)
Lineage: Eukaryota; Metazoa; Chordata; Mammalia; Primates; Cercopithecidae
Description: 7SK RNA
Rfam family: 7SK RNA
About the family: 7SK was discovered as an abundant small nuclear RNA in the mid-70s but a possible function has only recently been suggested. Two independent studies have found that 7SK RNA binds the CDK9/cyclin T complex (known as elongation factor P-TEFb).
Source: Rfam by way of RNAcentral